Molecule: ribosomal RNA, 638 nt
Filed under: uncultured bacterium
Lineage: Bacteria
Description: bacterial SSU rRNA
Rfam family: Bacterial small subunit ribosomal RNA
Source: RNAcentral
UCGAGUGGCGAACGGGUGAGUAACGCGUGAGGAACCUGCCUCAAAGAGGGGGACAACAGUUGGAAAUGACUGCUAAUACCGCAUAAGCGCACAGGACCGCAUGGUCCGGUGUGAAAAACUCCGGUGGUAUAAGAUGGACCCGCGUUGGAUUAGCUGGUUGGUGGGGUAACGGCCUACCAAGGCGACGAUCCAUAGCCGGCCUGAGAGGGUGAACGGCCACAUUGGGACUGAGACACGGCCCAGACUCCUACGGGAGGCAGCAGUGGGGAAUAUUGCACAAUGGGGGAAACCCUGAUGCAGCGACGCCGCGUGAAGGAAGAAGUAUCUCGGUAUGUAAACUUCUAUCAGCAGGGAAGAAAAUGACGGUACCUGACUGAGAAGCCCCGGCUAACUACGUGCCAGCAGCCGCGGUAAUACGUAGGAGGCAAGCGUUAUCCGGAUUUACUGGGUGUAAAGGGAGCGUAGACGGAUGGACAAGUCUGAUGUGAAAGGCUGGGGCUCGACCCCGGGACUGCAUUGGAAACUGCCCGUCUUGAGUGCCGGAGAGGUAAGCGGAAUUCCUAGUGUAGCGGUGAAAUGCGUAGAUAUUAGGAGGAACACCAGUGGCGAAGGCGGCUUACUGGACGGUAACUGACGUU